Long non-coding RNA from Sphaerodactylus townsendi, 1838 nucleotides. RefSeq lists it as uncharacterized. The transcript is spliced from 2 exons. The record is from RefSeq and is a predicted model, not a curated record. NCBI's taxonomy places the organism in Eukaryota, Metazoa, Chordata, Lepidosauria, Squamata, Sphaerodactylidae.
UUUGUCCCAUCACAUUAAAUAGUAUUUUCAUACAAGAGGCUUAAAGCAGGUCUUGUUUCAAUUAGCCUUAUACUUUAAGUGUGUGUGUGUGUGUGUGUAAAGGGCCAUCAAAUCACUUUGUGUAAAGGGCCAUCAAAUCACUUUUCAAGGCAAGAGAUGUUUACAGGUGAUUUGCCCCAUUGCCUGCCUUGCGUAACAAUCCUGGAUUCCCUUGGUGGUCUCCCAUCCAAGUACUAAGCAGAGGUGAUCUGCUUUGCUUCUGAGGUCUGACUAGAUUGGGCUAGCCUGGGCCAUCCAGGUCACGGUCUAUACUACAAAUAUAAAAUUGGUUAAAGGCCCAAGUAAACACAUGAAGCUGCUUUAUACUGAAUCAAACCAUUGGUCCAUCAAGGUCAGCACUGUGUACUCAGACUUGCAGCAGCUCUCUAGGUUGUGCCAGGUAGUGCUGUUUCAUGUUGCCUACUGCCUCACCCUUUUGACCGGAGACCUGGAACCCUGCUGCAUAAAAACAUAUUCUGCCACUGAGCCACUCCCCAUGUUUUGUAUUACACAUGCCUCUCAACAUUCUCUUUGCAUUAAUAUCAGUCAGAUUUUAGCAGAAAUUACAAGGAAGAAAUGGAAAGCUGGUUUAGUCUGAUGUAUAAAAAGUGUUUUUGUUAGCCCCUGCAGGCUAAUAGUAGUUCUUAGGGAAAGAUCUUGGAUCAGGGAAAUCAUGUGGAUGGAAGGGUUUAAAUAACUAACCUUCCCUACUCGGUACGGUAUAAUGGUUAUGCUUAAAACAGGGGUGUCCAACUGAAGCUUCAGAUGUUCAUGGACUACAAUUCCCACCAGCCCCUGCUGGCAUGGCCAAUUGGCUAUACCAGCAGGGGGUUGAUGGGAAUUGUAGUCCAUGAACAUCUGAAGCGCCGGAGUUGGACACCCCUGACUUAAAUUGUCAGAUUAUGCCUUGGAUAACCAGGUGCAAAUACCUAUUCAGCUAUGACUCUCACCACGUGAUUUUGGGUCAGUCAUUCUCACAGCCUAACAGUCGGCAAAGACUUUUUGUAAGAAUACAAAGCAAGAAAAAAAAGGUAUGUAUGCUGCCCUAAGUUCCCCUAAUGGAGCAAAAAGAUGCUCGUUUCAGGUUUGGAAACUGCUCAAGAAGGGGAUCUUUAACCCACAUCCCUACACAUUACAGUCGCAAUACUGAGUUAUGAACUCAUAGACCCUGCCUGGUUGAGAGUCUUAAUGUCAGCCAUAUGUGGGACACAACGAUUUUGGAACGUAUCAUUGGCCCUGGUAAUCCAAUGACUUUGUAAAGCAGAUUAGAUCAGUGAGUAUCCCAAGAAUGGAGAUGGGGUUGUGGCUGAGGCUGAAAGCUAGGGGCUUGUCUAGAGAGCUGAACUUGAGGUGAAAUUUGAACCAAGGCCUUUAUUCCACAAUAAUCAAGACCACACAUUUACAUGAGGGUCAUUAUUUAGACAUGUAUAAAAAACUCAGGCACACUUGGUUUGAUGUGCUGAUAGGAGGCAUGGGAGCUGUAUUUGAUACUGCAGUGAUCAAGGAGGGAACAGUAAGGUGGGAACACAGCCUAAUGGUUCCAGAGAAAGGUUGGAACAAACAUGAUGCAUCAGCCUCACUGAAGCAAAAUGGGUCUGUAUCUGGUCUGUGCCUGAAUGUUAUACCUUCCACCAUCACCAAGGAAUGCUGUCUUGAGAUGCAUGAUAUUAGAAGAAGUGUGAUAUAAAUAUAAUAAAUACAUGACGAGGCCAAAAUUCUAUUCACUUUCUAAGCUCUGUAGACUGCUUAGUGUAUGAAUGGUGCAAAACAAAUGUAAACUCAAAUAGUUUCAACCAGCA